RNAcentral lists this ribosomal RNA (404 nucleotides) under Fusobacteriota bacterium. RNAcentral describes it as "Fusobacteria bacterium partial 16S ribosomal RNA". It matches the Rfam family "Bacterial small subunit ribosomal RNA", at positions 355 to 776 of the family's 1533-position model. Lineage: Bacteria; Fusobacteriati; Fusobacteriota. The record is from RNAcentral.
UGGGGAAUAUUGCACAAUGGAGGGAACUCUGAUGCAGCGACGCCGCGUGAGUGAUGAAGGAAUUCGUUUCGUAAAACUCUGUUCUAUGGGAAGAAAAGGACUGUACCAUAGGAGAAAGCUCCGGCUAAAUACGUGCCAGCAGCCGCGGUAAUACGUAUGGAGCGAGCGUUGUCCGGAAUUAUUGGGCGUAAAGGGUGCGCAGGCGGCUUUACAAGUUGGAUGUGAAAUAUUGUGGCUCAACCACAAACGUGCAUCCAAAACUGCAAAGCUUGAGUUAAGGGGAGGUAAGUGGAAUUCCUGGUGUAGCGGUGGAAUGCGUAGAUAUCAGGAGGAAUACCGGUGGCGAAGGCGACUUACUGGACUUAAACUGACGCUCAGGCACGAAAGCGUGGGGAGCAAACAGG